UACGGGGGGGGCAAGCGUUGUUCGGAAUUACUGGGCGUGAAGGGUUCGUAGGUGGCCUACUAAGUCAGACGUGAAAUCCCUCAGCUUAACUGGGGAACUGCGUCUGAUACUGGGGGGCUUGAGUGCAGGAGAGGAACGCGGAAUUCCAGGUGUAGCGGUGAAAUGCGUAGAUAUCUGGAGGAACACCGGUGGCGAAGGCGGCGUUCUGGACUGCAACUGACACUGAUGAACGAAAGCCAGGGGAGCAAACGGG
Molecule: ribosomal RNA, 253 nt
Filed under: uncultured bacterium
Lineage: Bacteria
Description: partial 16S ribosomal RNA
Rfam family: Bacterial small subunit ribosomal RNA
Source: RNAcentral